GAUGAACGCUGGCGGCGUGCCUAAUACAUGCAAGUCGAGCGAACAGACGAGGAGCUUGCUCCUCUGACGUUAGCGGCGGACGGGUGAGUAACGCGUGGAUAACCUACCUAUAAGACUGGGAUAACUUCGGGAAACCGGAGCUAAUACCGGAUAAUAUAUUGAACCGCAUGGUUCAAUAGUGAAAGACGGUUUUGCUGUCACUUAUAGAUGGAUCCGCGCCGCAUUAGCUAGUUGGUAAGGUAGCGGCUUACCAAGGCGACGAUGCGUAGCCGACCUGAGAGGGUGAUCGGCCACACUGGAACUGAGACACGGUCCAGACUCCUACGGGAGGCAGCAGUAGGGAAUCUUCCGCAAUGGGCGAAAGCCUGACGGAGCAACGCCGCGUGAGUGAUGAAGGUCUUCGGAUCGUAAAACUCUGUUAUUAGGGAAGAACAAAUGUGUAAGUAACUAUGCACGUCUUGACGGUACCUAAUCAGAAAGCCACGGCUAACUACGUG
RNAcentral lists this ribosomal RNA (497 nucleotides) under uncultured bacterium. RNAcentral describes it as "partial 16S ribosomal RNA". It matches the Rfam family "Bacterial small subunit ribosomal RNA", at positions 28 to 507 of the family's 1533-position model. The record is from RNAcentral.